GUAAACGGCGGCCGUAACUAUAACGGUCCUAAGGUAGCGAAAUUCCUUGUCGGGUAAGUUCCGACCUGCACGAAUGGCGUAAUGAUGGCCAGGCUGUCUCCACCCGAGACUCAGUGAAAUUGAACUCGCUGUGAAGAUGCAGUGUACCCGCGGCAAGACGGAAAGACCCCGUGAACCUUUACUAUAGCUUGACACUGAACAUUGAGCCUUGAUGUGUAGGAUAGGUGGGAGGCUUUGAAGUGUGGACGCCAGUCUGCAUGGAGCCGACCUUGAAAUACCACCCUUUAAUGUUUGAUGUUCUAACGUUGACCCGUAAUCCGGGUUGCGGACAGUGUCUGGUGGGUAGUUUGACUGGGGCGGUCUCCUCCUAAAGAGUAACGGAGGAGCACGAAGGUUGGCUAAUCCUGGUCGGACAUCAGGAGGUUAGUGCAAUGGCAUAAGCCAGCUUGACUGCGAGCGUGACGGCGCGAGCAGGUGCGAAAGCAGGUCAUAGUGAUCCGGUGGUUCUGAAUGGAAGGGCCAUCGCUCAACGGAUAAAAGGUACUCCGGGGAUAACAGGCUGAUACCGCCCAAGAGUUCAUAUCGACGGCGGUGUUUGGCACCUCGAUGUCGGCUCAUCACAUCCUGGGGCUGAAGUAGGUCCCAAGGGUAUGGCUGUUCGCCAUUUAAAGUGGUACGCGAGCUGGGUUUAGAACGUCGUGAGACAGUUCGGUCCCUAUCUGCCGUGGGCGCUGGAGAACUGAGGGGGGCUGCUCCUAGUACGAGAGGACCGGAGUGGACGCAUCACUGGUGUUCGGGUUGUCAUGCCAAUGGCACUGCCCGGUAGCUAAAUGCGGAAGAGAUAAGUGCUGAAAGCAUCUAAGCACGAAACUUGCCCCGAGAUGAGUUCUCCCUGACUCCUUGAGAGUCCUGAAGGAACGUUGAAGACGACGACGUUGAUAGGCCGGGUGUGUAAGCGCAGCGAUGCGUUGAGCUAACCGGUACUAAUGAACCGUGAGG
RNAcentral lists this ribosomal RNA (999 nucleotides) under Escherichia coli. RNAcentral's name for it is "partial 23S ribosomal RNA". It matches the Rfam family "Bacterial large subunit ribosomal RNA", at positions 1923 to 2916 of the family's 2925-position model. Lineage: Bacteria; Pseudomonadati; Pseudomonadota; Gammaproteobacteria; Enterobacterales; Enterobacteriaceae. The record is from RNAcentral.